This 424-nucleotide ribosomal RNA is filed under the name uncultured bacterium. RNAcentral's name for it is "bacterial SSU rRNA". It matches the Rfam family "Bacterial small subunit ribosomal RNA", at positions 355 to 776 of the family's 1533-position model. The record is from RNAcentral.
UUUCGAAUCAUUCACAAUGGGCGAAAGCCUGAUGGUGCAACGCCGCGUGGGGGACGAAGGUCUUCGGAUUGUAAACCCCUGUCAUUGAGGAACAAAACCCGGACUCAUACUCCGGCUUGAGUUAACUCAAAGAGGAAGUAGUGGCAAACUCCGUGCCAGCAGCCGCGGUAAUACGGAGACUACGAGCGUUACUCGGAUUCACUGGGCGUAAAGGGUGCGCAGGCGGCCGAAUGUGUUGGGUGUGAAAUCCUGGGGCUUAACUCCAGGGCUGCGCUCAAAACUGUUCGGCUAGAGUCUCGGAGAGGUAAGCGGAAUUCCUAGUGUAGCAGUGAAAUGCGUAGAUAUUAGGAGGAACACCAAAGGCGAAGGCAGCUUACUGGACGAGUACUGACGCUCAUGCACGAAAGCGUGGGGAGCAAAAAGG